GAUGAACGCUGGCGGCGUGCCUAAUACAUGCAAGUCGAGCGAACGGACGAGAAGCUUGCUUCUCUGAUGUUAGCGGCGGACGGGUGAGUAACACGUGGAUAACCUACCUAUAAGACUGGGAUAACUUCGGGAAACCGGAGCUAAUACCGGAUAAUAUUUUGAACCGCAUGGUUCAAAAGUGAAAGACGGUCUUGCUGUCACUUAUAGAUGGAUCCGCGCUGCAUUAGCUAGUUGGUAAGGUAACGGCUUACCAAGGCAACGAUGCAUAGCCGACCUGAGAGGGUGAUCGGCCACACUGGAACUGAGACACGGUCCAAACUCCUACGGGAGGCAGCAGUAGGGAAUCUUCCGCAAUGGGCGAAAGCCUGACGGAGCAACGCCGCGUGAGUGAUGAAGGUCUUCGGAUCGUAAAACUCUGUUAUUAGGGAAGAACAUAUGUGUAGUAACUGUGCACAUCUUGACGGUACCUAAUCAGAAAGCCACGGCUAACUACGUG
RNAcentral lists this ribosomal RNA (496 nucleotides) under uncultured bacterium. RNAcentral's name for it is "partial 16S ribosomal RNA". It matches the Rfam family "Bacterial small subunit ribosomal RNA", at positions 28 to 507 of the family's 1533-position model. The record is from RNAcentral.